GAUGAACGCUAGCGGCAGGCCUAAUACAUGCAAGUCGAACGAUAUCAUGCAGCUUGCUGGAUGAGAAAGUGGCGCACGGGUGCGUAACGCGUAUGCAACCUACCUUUAUCAGGGGGAUAGCCCGGAGAAAUCCGGAUUAAUACCGCAUAAAAUCACAGGAUGGCAUUAUCCAAUGAUCAAACAUUUAUGGGAUAAAGAUGGGCAUGCGUGUCAUUAGCUAGUUGGCGGGGUAACGGCCCACCAAGGCGACGAUGACUAGGGGAUCUGAGAGGAUGGCCCCCCACACUGGUACUGAGACACGGACCAGACUCCUACGGGAGGCAGCAGUAAGGAAUAUUGGUCAAUGGGCGGAAGCCUGAACCAGCCAUGCCGCGUGCAGGAAGACUGCCCUAUGGGUUGUAAACUGCUUUUAUCCGGGAAUAAACCUACUUACGUGUAAGUAGCUGAAUGUACCGGAAGAAUAAGGGUCGGCUAACUCCGUGCCAGCCGCCGCGGUAA
Molecule: ribosomal RNA, 498 nt
Filed under: uncultured bacterium
Lineage: Bacteria
Description: partial 16S ribosomal RNA
Rfam family: Bacterial small subunit ribosomal RNA
Source: RNAcentral